RNAcentral lists this transfer RNA (73 nucleotides) under Myotis lucifugus (little brown bat). It matches the Rfam family "tRNA". From Rfam's summary of the family: Transfer RNA (tRNA) molecules are approximately 80 nucleotides in length. Their secondary structure includes four short double-helical elements and three loops (D, anti-codon, and T loops). Lineage: Eukaryota; Metazoa; Chordata; Mammalia; Chiroptera; Vespertilionidae. The record is from Rfam by way of RNAcentral.
GCUGGUGUGGCUCAGUGGAUAGAGCGUCAGCCUGUGAACUGAAGGGUCCUGGGUUCGAUUCCAGUCAAGGGCA